GUAUCUGGCCGUUUACACACAAUAAUGUAUAAAAACAAGAUUCAAAUCUGGAGUCACGCACGUGCUAUUUCACAGGCGCGCGCAUUAUUGAGCUCUCUCUCGCGUCUUCUUGCGUUUAAAUUGUUUAAGUGAGUGUUUAAACUGUUAAAUUGAUAAUGCUUAAUAUAAUUUGAUGAUAUAUCGGAACUGUGGGAAUUUACCUCGUUAUAAGAUGUUAUAAUGUGAUUAAUGCGUGCGCUGAAAUGCAAACCCUGUGAUGUAACUUAAUGCUAAAUUCAUCCAAAUCUGUUCUGAUGAGGAAAACAAACACAUCAUCAUCUUGGAGACCCUGAAGAGUUAAGAAGCAGCCGAGAAGAGUGUUUUUCCCCCUCCCCGGUGCAGAAGAGGGCUGGACUGCAGCGCAGUGUUCUGGCUGGAGCUCUGCCAUUGUUUGAGAUUCCUGACGCGAGUGUCUGGCUGGAAUGAUGUUUUGUGGUGGGAAUGCGGCUGGGAGACUGGCACUGGAAUCAACUUAGUCCUGUAUAACCAUAGUCUGUCUGAACACAUAAUUACAGCUGUCUACUUUUGACUUAUUUGCAGCCUGUUAUUACCCAUAGUCUCGUGUACUUCUACAAUGUAAUCUACACACGUUAUCACAACUUCACGCGUGCACAGAGACAGAAGACAUGAUGCAAACAGCAGAUAAAUCUCUCGAGAGGAAAUAAAUCUGUAACUUCUGAAAUCUGAAAAGACAUUAA
This is a long non-coding RNA of Carassius auratus (goldfish), 737 nucleotides long. RefSeq lists it as uncharacterized. The transcript has 3 exons. Lineage: Eukaryota; Metazoa; Chordata; Actinopteri; Cypriniformes; Cyprinidae. The record is from RefSeq and is a predicted model, not a curated record.